This 28-nucleotide non-coding RNA is filed under the name Mus musculus (house mouse). Lineage: Eukaryota; Metazoa; Chordata; Mammalia; Rodentia; Muridae. The record is from RNAcentral.
UGCAAACUUCAGGGUGUGAAUCGAUGUU